GGGUCGAUGGCGUAGUUGGUUAUCGCAUCUGUCUUACAAUAUGAAACAUAUCUCACAGAAGGUCCUCAGUUCGAGCCUGGGUCGACUCA
This is a non-coding RNA of Termitomyces sp. T32_za158, 89 nucleotides long. The record is from the annotation of a GenBank genome assembly. NCBI's taxonomy places the organism in Eukaryota, Fungi, Basidiomycota, Agaricomycetes, Agaricales, Lyophyllaceae.